AGGGUGGGGAGACACCUCAGGAGGUGGUCCUGGGGCUGCUGUCCCACCCCUCGGUGCCACCAGCUCUUGGAGACUCGCCCGUCUGCAGGGUCAAGGAUCUUCUGGGGAUCUUGGUGAUGUGAGGUGGAAGGGAACCCAAGGUUCUUUGGACCACCCCAAUGCUCCUUGGACCAACCUAAGGUUCCUUGGACCAACCCAACCUUCUAUGGACCAACCCAACCUUCUUUGGACCAACCCAAGGUUCUUUGGACCAACCCAAGGCUCUUUGGACCAACCCAAGGUUCUUUGGACCAACCUGAGGUUCCUUGGACCAACCCAAGGUUCCUUGGACCAACCCAACCUUCUUUGGACCAACCCAAGGUUCCUCAGACCUUCAGGAGAAGGUUGACCUCUCAGGUCCACACCACCCUGAGCCACCUUGAGCUCCUCAAGCGAGCAAUGAGAGCUGUUUCUCCUGGUUUGGAGCAUCCCUGGAUGGAGGUGGACCUUCUCGUGGUCACCUGUGGUGG
Poecile atricapillus (Black-capped chickadee) is the source of this 509-nucleotide long non-coding RNA. RefSeq lists it as uncharacterized. The transcript is spliced from 3 exons. Lineage: Eukaryota; Metazoa; Chordata; Aves; Passeriformes; Paridae. The record is from RefSeq and is a predicted model, not a curated record.